RNAcentral lists this small RNA (361 nucleotides) under Arabidopsis thaliana (thale cress). Its description in RNAcentral is "ATSL024050". Lineage: Eukaryota; Viridiplantae; Streptophyta; Magnoliopsida; Brassicales; Brassicaceae. The record is from RNAcentral.
UUUUAUUAAAUUGAUUUAGAUGUGUUGGUUAAACUUAAAUUGACAUUGGUUUAGAGAUUUUAGUUGGUUUAAUUCAAAUUUACAAAACUUGAUGGGUUAAUUGGGUAAACCAUUGAACCCAUUAACCAUUACAACCCAACUCAUUUUACUCAUCAAACUAAUUGACUCAUCAACUUAUUUGACCCAUCAACUCAUUUGAGUCAAAAUUUUCAACUCAUUAGAAUUCAUGGGUUGAGUUGAAUUGACCAUGAAUUUUGACCCAUUUUGACACCCUUAAUUAUAAGCAAUAAAUGAAUCAGUGAGGAGGUCAAGGGCCUUAUUUUGAGAGAAAGAGAGAUCACAAAGUUUUGUUUUUAAAAUU